AUGGCUUUGGUCCAACGGUUUGGAAAGCCAGAUUUAUUUUUAACAAUGACGUGCAACCCAAGUUGGGAAGAGAUAAUAAAAGAACUCUCACCAGGCCAAUCAGCACAAGACCGACCAGACUUGGUAGCACGGGUCAUUAAGGCAAAAUUAGAGGAUCUGAAAAAGCUUCUAUUCAAGAAGAAAUUCUUUGGUGAGGUUGCUGCUUACGUGUAUGUGAUUGAAUUUCAAAAAAGGGGACUGCCUCAUGCACAUUUCUUGAUAAUCCUGAAGUCAAGUUACAAAAUAAACAGCCCUGACCAGUAUGACCAUAUUAUAUCCACUGAAAUUCCUGAUAAGGAUAAGUACCCUGUGCUGCAUGAUUUAGUUAUUAAACACAUGAUGCAUGGUCCGUGUGGUGUUAUCAAUAGUUAA
This 411-nucleotide ribosomal RNA is filed under the name Triticum aestivum (bread wheat). Its description in RNAcentral is "partial small subunit ribosomal RNA". Lineage: Eukaryota; Viridiplantae; Streptophyta; Magnoliopsida; Poales; Poaceae. The record is from RNAcentral.